Molecule: ribosomal RNA, 436 nt
Filed under: Vibrio diabolicus
Lineage: Bacteria; Pseudomonadati; Pseudomonadota; Gammaproteobacteria; Vibrionales; Vibrionaceae
Description: partial 23S ribosomal RNA
Rfam family: Bacterial large subunit ribosomal RNA
Source: RNAcentral
UUGAGUCUGGGAUUUCCGAAUGGGGAAACCCACUUACAUAAGUAAGUAUCGUUAUGUGAAUACAUAGCAUAACGAGGCGAACCGGGGGAACUGAAACAUCUAAGUACCCCGAGGAAAAGAAAUCAACCGAGAUUCCGAAAGUAGCGGCGAGCGAAAUUGGACUAGCCCUUAAGCUUUAUAGGCGUUAGGUGAACAAGCUGGAAAGCUUGGCGAUACAGGGUGAUAGCCCCGUAACUGACGACGCAUAUUCAGUGAAAUCGAGUAGGGCGGGACACGUGAUAUCCUGUCUGAAUAUGGGGGGACCAUCCUCCAAGGCUAAAUACUACUGACUGACCGAUAGUGAACCAGUACCGUGAGGGAAAGGCGAAAAGAACCCCUGUGAGGGGAGUGAAAUAGAACCUGAAACCGUGUACGUACAAGCAGUAGGAGCAGGCUU